AAAUUGAAGAGUUUGAUCAUGGCUCAGAUUGAACGCUGGCGGCAGGCCUAACACAUGCAAGUCGAACGGUAACAGGAAGCAGCUUGCUGCUUCGCUGACGAGUGGCGGACGGGUGAGUAAUGUCUGGGAAACUGCCUGAUGGAGGGGGAUAACUACUGGAAACGGUAGCUAAUACCGCAUAACGUCGCAAGACCAAAGAGGGGGACCUUCGGGCCUCUUGCCAUCGGAUGUGCCCAGAUGGGAUUAGCUAGUAGG
This 255-nucleotide ribosomal RNA is filed under the name Escherichia coli. RNAcentral's name for it is "partial 16S ribosomal RNA". It matches the Rfam family "Bacterial small subunit ribosomal RNA", at positions 1 to 252 of the family's 1533-position model. Lineage: Bacteria; Pseudomonadati; Pseudomonadota; Gammaproteobacteria; Enterobacterales; Enterobacteriaceae. RNAcentral also lists the same sequence under 2 other names. The record is from RNAcentral.